This 1123-nucleotide long non-coding RNA is filed under the name Hordeum vulgare. RNAcentral's name for it is "long non-coding RNA (HVUL_LNC016757)". The record is from RNAcentral. Lineage: Eukaryota; Viridiplantae; Streptophyta; Magnoliopsida; Poales; Poaceae.
UUGUUGAUGAUCCUUGAACUCGAGCGACUCUAAAUAGCAAGUCUCACACUCCGGAUGAUCUAACAAAACAAACAAUUCACACAUAAGCAUAACCAUAGCACAACUUACAAUAACAGCAAGGAAAACUAAUAACACUAAAACAAUGAAUAGCACAAACAAAGGAAAGAAAAGAAAACAAACAAAAAGAAAAAGAAAAGCAAUUAACCUAAAAUAACUAAAACAUAUUCAAAAACCUUAAUUUAUAAUGUACUUUAAAUCACCAAACUAAACAGGGUGAUAAAACUAUGUAAUAUGAAUCAGUAGCAAAAAGAAUCACUCAAAAACAUGUUUUUAAACUCAAGUUAUUCAAAUUCUAAUGAUUUGAGAAAAAACAAAUGAAUUCAAUUUUUAAAUAUUUCAAACUUGAAAACGAAAACUACACACAUAAACUACAUGCUAUUUUUAAGCUACUGCAAAAAGAAUCAAAUAAAAAUACUUGAAAACCUAAAAGAUAUUCAAGUUCUAAGAUUAGGAUCUAUUGUGACUCGAGAAAUAGAAACAGAAAAUAAAAGAAAACCUAAUCUACGAACAGGCUACGUGGGAGAGUCCUAGUGGCUAGUGGUGUGCAUGCGUUAGCUAAACGAGCGAGCGGCCGCGGAAAUAAAAAAACUGUUCGGUUGUUUAGUUAAUCUAAUCUGGAUCGUUGGAUCUAGAUCCAAUGGUUGAGGAGGGGUUGGGUGCUCACAGCGACGGUGGGUGGCGCUUCGCUAAAAUCGACGACGGUCAAAGCGUGAAGGUGGCCGGGACGGUGCCGUAGUGGUCGUCUGUAGCGGCGGAGGUGUCCAGGCGAUGGUGACGAUCCUCCAGCGUCAUUUGGCGGCAUCAACGGGACUCAGGGGUGACGGUGCGGAGCGACACGAGAUCAAAGAGCUCCGAUUGGAGGCAGCGCUCCGGCGAGGUGGCAAUGCGGCGUUCUGGCCAGAGGCUCUCGAGGGUUUGGGGUGGAACGAAGUGCGGGGGAGGCGGGGUACUUAUAGACGGCCUCAGGGUCAAAGAAUAGGCAAGGGAGAGGGAGAUCGACGCGGAUCCGUGGCAAGCUCCGGCGAAGGAAAUAGGAGGGAGAUAGGGAAGAUGACGACCGACG